UAGCGAGGAUCGAUCAUCUUGCAGCUGGCCAUCACUUGCAAAUAUGUAGGCGAGUCAGGACAACUGAUGGCAGUUACCGAUGGUAAUACGGAAGAUGCUUCUUUUGAUGACAUGUUCAAAGCUUCUACCAGCAUUACGGCCAUCGUUUCUAUCCGUAGAGCUUUUCUUGAGAGAUUCUGAGCGUGUUCGGUCAUUUCAUGUGACACACCGAGGUACCAUGAAGGAGAACCUUGAUUCAAAUGUGUCCGCGAGUUCAGGAUUGCUCGCUCCGCCUGAUCGUAUUUCUCCAUCGAAAUAUUUAUACUGCAAUGGAUCUUAGAGACCUUGUCUAGGAGAUGGCAUUUCGCCUCAUUCUGUGCGGAGCACUGUUCGUCAUUCUAUUUAUCGCGUCGUCUUAUUUAAUAUUAAAUUCAUUCAUCCUUUCAUCCACAUAUAUCUUGGAGUUAAGUGUGGUACUUAGCUAUUUUUUUAAUCAUACCGAUGGGAUACACGGGCGACCUUAAGAAGAGAUUAAAGAAGAUUCGUUGUUUGACAUUUAACUCUUUCCUGCUUCUUUUGUGACUUUCUUACGUAAUCUUUUCUGCGUCCAUGAAUAGUGCCUGUACAAAUCGAUGAAAGUUAUUUGGAAACUUGGUUUGCUCUUGCUGAAGAAAAUUUUCAAAUUCCCACUAAAAAUAAAUAAUCGUGUAUACACGUUAUUUUGAGAUAUGAUUUGAUAACACUGAUGUUGGUAAAUCAUUAAUGCUAUAUCUAUAUUAAUUAUUUGACGAUUCUUCGUGUUUCUCUAUUUUUAAGUAGGUACACACAUAUAAGUACAAUUAAAGUAUAUGUAAAAAAAAUUUCUGGUUGUAUAUAUAAUCUACUAUUUUAGAGUUUCUAAAAAUUUAUAUCUCAUAUGAUUUCAUAUAUUUUUUUUACUAGUAAUUACUUUGAAAUUUUGGAAUUUUUUAUUCACUGUCUUUUAAUUAUAUGUCAAGAACAUUGCCUAAAAAAUAUAUGCAUAUAAAUAUUGAUUUAAAAAUAAUAAUAAAAAAUGUAGAAGGAACCAUGACCUUUAAGAAAAACAUGUUUCACAAUAUUUUUUUUUGACAAACUUUUGAUGACAUGAUGAUAAAGAUAUUCAACGCAAUAAAUUUCUAUUUUGAAAGAUUUAUAGCUAAAAGUUAGCUUUCUGAUACAUCGGCAUAUCAUUAAAUCUGUUUUAAAUUGUAUCUCAUAUAAAAUAUACAUUUUCUUGCACGAACAUUAAUAAUUCUUCUUAAUAAGAAUAUUUAUAAAUGUCAAUCUGAUGCAAGUACAA
This 1300-nucleotide unclassified non-coding RNA is filed under the name Bombus terrestris (buff-tailed bumblebee). RNAcentral describes it as "misc RNA ENSBTSG00005031025.1". The record is from RNAcentral. Lineage: Eukaryota; Metazoa; Arthropoda; Insecta; Hymenoptera; Apidae.